AGCGAACGCUGGCGGCAGGCCUAACACAUGCGAGUCGAACGAACCUUUCGGGGUUAGUGGCGGACGGGUGAGUAACACGUGGGAACGUGCCUUUAGGUUCGGAAUAACUCAGGGAAACUUGUGCUAAUACCGAAUGUGCCCUUCGGGGGAAAGAUUUAUCGCCUUUAGAGCGGCCCGCGUCUGAUUAGCUAGUUGGUUGAGGUAAUGGCUCACCAAGGCGACGAUCAGUAGCUGGUCUGAGAGGAUGAUCAGCCACAUUGGGACUGAGACACGGCCCAGACUCCUACGGGAGGCAGCAGUGGGGAAUCUUGCGCAAUGGGCGAAAGCCUGACGCAGCCAUGCCGCGUGAAUGAUGAAGGUCUUAGGAUUGUAAAAUUCUUUCACCGGGGACGAUAAUGACGGUACCCGGAGAAGAAGCCCCGGCUAACUUCGUG
Molecule: ribosomal RNA, 434 nt
Filed under: uncultured bacterium
Lineage: Bacteria
Description: partial 16S ribosomal RNA
Rfam family: Bacterial small subunit ribosomal RNA
Source: RNAcentral